Molecule: long non-coding RNA, 1016 nt
Filed under: Carica papaya (papaya)
Lineage: Eukaryota; Viridiplantae; Streptophyta; Magnoliopsida; Brassicales; Caricaceae
Description: long non-coding RNA (CPAP_LNC012293)
Source: RNAcentral
CUUUCGACAGAGAAAGGAUCCCAGAACGAGUGGUUCAUGCCAGAGGAGUCAGUGCCAAAGGCUUUUUUGAAGUCACCCACGAUGUCUCCCAUCUCACUUGCGCCGAUUUCCUCCGCGCUCCCGGCGUCCAGACUCCUCUUAUUGUCCGCUUCUCCACCGUCAUCCACGAGCGUGGCAGCCCUGAAACUCUCCGUGAUCCCCGUGGUUUCGCCGUCAAGUUUUACACCCGAGAGGUAGAUUGGAAAUACACGUACUUACACACACACAUAUGCAAGAAUGUAUACACGUAUAUGAUUUUCCUGGCCGGGUUUGUUGUUUUUCAACCAGGGUAACUUCGAUAUCGUCGGAAACAACAUGCCGGUGUUCUUCAUUCGUGACGGAAUCAAAUUCCCUGACGUGAUCCACGCGUUCAAGCCAAACCCAAAAUCAAACAUUCAAGAAUACUGGAGGAUUCUUGAUUUCUGCUCUCACCACCCGGAGAGCUUGCACACCUUCAUGUACUUCUUUGACGACAUCGGUGUUCCGGUCGACUACCGGCACAUGGAAGGAUUUGGUGUCAACACUUUCUCCUUCUUCAACAAAGCUGGUAAGAUGCUGUACGUGAAGUUCCACUGGAAACCCGCUCGUGAAAAAGUGAUGGGUAUGUCCGACGAGGAAGCCAUAAGAAUCGGCGGAACCAACCACAGCCACGCCACCCAAGAUCUGUACGAGUCGAUCAAGGCCGGAAACUACCCUGAAUGGAAGCUUUACGUGCAGACAAUGGACCCUGCUGAUGAAGACAGGUUUGACUUCGAUCCGCUUGAUAUGACCAAGAUUUGGCCGGAGGAUAUCUUCCCGUUGCAACCGGUGGGUCGGAUGGUACUAAACCGGAAUGUUGAUAAUUUCUUUGCUGAGAAUGAGCAGUUGGCUUUCUCCCCUGCUCAUGUCGUCCCUGGAAUCUAUUACUCCGACGACAAGCUGCUUCAAUGUCGAAUCUUCGCCUACGAUGACACCCAGAGGCACCGGCUUGGACCAAA